RNAcentral lists this ribosomal RNA (403 nucleotides) under Verrucomicrobiota bacterium. RNAcentral describes it as "Verrucomicrobia bacterium partial 16S ribosomal RNA". It matches the Rfam family "Bacterial small subunit ribosomal RNA", at positions 355 to 776 of the family's 1533-position model. The record is from RNAcentral. Lineage: Bacteria; Pseudomonadati; Verrucomicrobiota.
UGGGGAAUAUUGCACAAUGGGGGAAACCCUGAUGCAGCGACGCCGCGUGAGCGAAGAAGGCUUUCGAGUCGUAAAGCUCUGUCCUAUGAGAAGAUAAUGACGGUAUCAUAGGAGGAAGCCCUGGCUAAAUACGUGCCAGCAGCCGCGGUAAUACGUAUGGGGCGAGCGUUGUCCGGAAUUAUUGGGCGUAAAGGGUACGUAGGCGGUUUUUUAAGUCAGGUGUCAAAGCGUGGAGCUUAACUCCAUUAAGCACUUUCCACUGCACGACUUGAUUCCACGAUCGGCAAGUCUACUUCCUCGUGUCGCGGUGACAUGCUUAGCUCUUCUGUUGACUCCCGGUCUCUCAGUCGCCUUUCUGGACUUUUUCUGACGCUCAGGUACGAAAGCGUGGGGAGCAAACAGG